RNAcentral lists this ribosomal RNA (425 nucleotides) under uncultured bacterium. Its description in RNAcentral is "partial 16S ribosomal RNA". It matches the Rfam family "Bacterial small subunit ribosomal RNA", at positions 354 to 796 of the family's 1533-position model. The record is from RNAcentral.
GUGGGGAAUAUUGGACAAUGGGCGCAAGCCUGAUCCAGCCAUGCCGCGUGAGUGAUGAAGGCCUUAGGGUUGUAAAGCUCUUUCACCGGUGAAGAUAAUGACGGUAACCGGAGAAGAAGCCCCGGCUAACUUCGUGCCAGCAGCCGCGGUAAUACGAAGGGGGCUAGCGUUGUUCGGAAUUACUGGGCGUAAAGCGCACGUAGGCGGAUAUUUAAGUCAGGGGUGAAAUCCCAGAGCUCAACUCUGGAACUGCCUUUGAUACUGGGUAUCUCGAGUAUGGAAGAGGUAAGUGGAAUUCCGAGUGUAGAGGUGAAAUUCGUAGAUAUUCGGAGGAACACCAGUAGCGAAGGCGGCUUACUGGUCCAUUACUGACGCUGAGGUGCGAAAGCGUGGGGAGCAAACAGGAUUAGAAACCCUGGUAGUCC